Molecule: ribosomal RNA, 2205 nt
Filed under: Triticum aestivum (bread wheat)
Lineage: Eukaryota; Viridiplantae; Streptophyta; Magnoliopsida; Poales; Poaceae
Description: partial small subunit ribosomal RNA
Source: RNAcentral
AUGACCAUGCCCUCGCAAUACUCCAAGCUGCUGCCCAUCCUGCUCCUCCUCCUUGCAACAGCGACCCACACCAUCAUCCUGGCUGCCGAUGCUGCUGAACAGCAACAGCAUCCGAUCACGCUUGAGGGUUGCCCCGAAAAGUGCGGCGACAUCAGCAUUCCCUUCCCGUUCGGCAUGAAGCCCGGCUGCUUCCGUGAUGAUGGAUUCAAGGUCAUCUGCAACGACUCCUUCCACCCUCCUCGCGCGUUCCUUCCUCGAGACUCCGCGCUUCGUGAAAUCGGUGAUGCGAAAUACUCCUCUUUCUACUCUGACUCCUCUUCCGAUUCUCCUGCUCCUCCCGACCCGUCCAAGGCGGUCAUCACUGCUUACGAGACGGCCUACUCCGCCGCGCUCGUGGAGCUCUUCGACAUAACGCCUAACAGGAGUGAGCUCCGUGUGUACGGCGGGGUCACAUCCGACUGCGUCGACUUCGGUGCGAAAGACCACCGGGUCAACAUGCAAGGUACCCAGCUCGGCCCUCAGAAACCUUUCCUCCUGUCCCUGCGGCGCAAUGUUCUCAUCGGCGUCGGCUGGAACGCGCUUGCCCAGUUCGUCCUGUCCGUGCACGACAGGACCCCCCUGCUCGCCUGUGUUUCGUCCGUGAGAAUCGACCCGACAAACGGGAUCUGCACGGGGAUGGGGUGCUGUGAGGCCUCCGCCCCGCCUCAAGCGCCUAGAGAUCCUGAGGGCCUCGAUUCCUUCUCGGACUUGAAUGGCCUUGUGCUAUCUAACAAACACCCAAGGGGUGUCCCCGUCGUACUUGAAUUCGCCAUCAGGAGCGGGAGCCAUUCAUGUCCAGUGGAAGGCCAGCAGCGGCCUCAGGACUACGCGUGCAUUAGCGACAACAGCUUGUGUGCCACGCCACCCAGCGGGGGCGGCUAUAUCUGCAGGUGCUCGCAAUAUUAUGACGGCAACCCUUACGUCAAGAAUGGCUGCCAAGAUAUCAAUGAAUGUGAGGCCGGUCAUAAUUGCUCAGAGGGAUCCACCUGCGACAACAUAAUAGGAGGAGGCUAUGAGUGUCCAUGCAACUCGGGAAUGACAGGCGAUGGCAAAAAGGGAGGCUGCCAAGAGAGGUUUCCCUUACCUGCAAAGGUGUCUGUGGGUGUUGCUGUAGUCAUUGUUGUAAUUCUCUUCAUGGUUGGGGCACAUCAACUCCACAAACUCAAAAAGUUCUAUGAACAAAAUGGUGGUCCAAUACUAGAAGGUAUAAAGAAUAUAAGGAUCUAUACAAGCAAACAACUUGAGCAGAUGACAAAUAACUACAAGGUUAUUAUUGGAGAGGGCCAUUUUGGUAAAGUUUAUAUGGGAACUCUAAAAGAAAAACAAGAAGUGGCUAUAAAGAAGACAAUCAAAGUUGAUGAAGGUAGCAAGAAGGACUUCAUUGAUGAAGUUAUAAUCCAAUCUGGAAUGAGGCACAAGAACAUUGUCAGGCUCCUAGGUUGUUGCUUAGAGAUGGAUGUUCCAAUGUUGAUGUAUGAGUAUGUAGUGAAAGGGAGUCUGUAUGAUGUUCUGUUCAAAAGCAAAGAUAGCGUUCCAGUGGAUACACGUCUCAGGAUUGCCAUUGGUUCAGCUGAAGGCUUGGCAUACAUGCACUCAGCUGUGGAGAGUACCAUCCGUCACGGUGAUGUUAAAUCUGCUAAUAUACUUCUUGAUGAAAGCUUCACCCCAAAAAUUUCGGACUUUGGAACCUCAAAGCUGCUUGCAAAAGGAAAAUCUGAGAAGACUGAAUGGGUCACUGGAGACAAGGCUUACAUAGAUCCAGCAUACAUGGUUCAUGGGAUACUUACACAGAAGAGCGAUGUAUACAGCUUUGGAAUUGUUCUCAUAGAGCUUAUCACAAGGAGAGUUGCAAGAUAUGAUGACAAUAUGAGUUAUGCCAAAAACUUUGUUGAAGCUUGUCAAGAUCAAAGAGCAAGGAACUUUGUCGACAAUGAUAUUACAAGUGAGAAGGAUAUUGAGCUCUUGGAAAUGGUUAGUGAAGUCGCUCUGGAGUGUCUCAAACUUGAUCCAGAGGACCGCCUAGAUAUGAGACAAGUCGAGAACCGUCUCUAUAUUAUAGGACAAUUUGAGCAGUAUGGGCAAGAGAGGAACUAUCAAGGAAAUCUGAGUCCUGGUAUGGAGGUUCCUUUCCUUAAACCCGUGGAGAUCAAAUCUUCUACCAACUAA